This 531-nucleotide ribosomal RNA is filed under the name Triticum aestivum (bread wheat). Its description in RNAcentral is "partial small subunit ribosomal RNA". The record is from RNAcentral. Lineage: Eukaryota; Viridiplantae; Streptophyta; Magnoliopsida; Poales; Poaceae.
AUGGCCGCCGACACCGCCUACGCGAAGUGGGUGCUGCUCGCCUGCAACGGCGGCGGCGACGCCGUCUCGCGGGGGGUCGCCGUUGGCCUCGCCAGGCACGGCUGCAGGCUGGUCCUGGUGGGCGACGAGGGCGCCCUGGCCGCGACGGCGGAGGAGGGCGCCCUGGCGCGACGAUGCAGCCCAAGUGCGGUGUGCUUCCGCCUUAGCCGACGCAGUCGGCCACUACUAGCAGCAACCCCUGAGCCCGACGCGUCGCUGCCGCCUGCCGCGGCUCCGCCUACUCCUCUGCCGCCGGCUCGCGCCGCGAGGAUAGUAGCCGCUUCAUUAGAGGACGCGCUUAUCAAAGGUACGGCCUCAUCGGUCUCCCACCUUGGCCUGGAUUCCGUCAAAAAGAUGGUGCUGGGUAGUGGAUCUGACUGCCCCCUCUCCUGUCUCUGCGUUUCUCCCAUACGAAACCCUAGGCCGGGCAGAGGCGAGUCUAUUGGGCAGGCUCCUCAGGCCCAGCCAUCUACGUCCCCAACUCACCAUUAG